Molecule: ribosomal RNA, 253 nt
Filed under: uncultured bacterium
Lineage: Bacteria
Description: partial 16S ribosomal RNA
Rfam family: Bacterial small subunit ribosomal RNA
Source: RNAcentral
UACGUAGGUGGCAAGCGUUGUCCGGAUUUACUGGGCGUAAAGGGCGCGCAGGCGGUCGUCCAAGUCGCGUGUGAAAGCCCCCGGCUCAACUGGGGAGGGUCACGCGAUACUGGUCGACUCGAAGGCAGGAGAGGGUAGUGGAAUUCCCGGUGUAGUGGUGAAAUGCGUAGAUAUCGGGAGGAACACCAGUGGCGAAGGCGACUACCUGGCCUGUUCUUGACGCUGAGGCGCGAAAGCUAGGGGAGCAAACGGG